AGGUGGAACUAUAUGCGAAGUCUCUCUCUCUCACAUGAGUUGGGCGUGUGAUAUAAGACAGCGCAUUUCUCUCUCGCUUUGUGCUCUAUAU
Molecule: non-coding RNA, 91 nt
Organism: Caenorhabditis elegans
Lineage: Eukaryota; Metazoa; Nematoda; Chromadorea; Rhabditida; Rhabditidae
Source: Ensembl